This is a long non-coding RNA of Felis catus (domestic cat), 420 nucleotides long. RefSeq lists it as uncharacterized. Lineage: Eukaryota; Metazoa; Chordata; Mammalia; Carnivora; Felidae. The record is from RefSeq and is a predicted model, not a curated record. The transcript has 2 exons.
UCAGGUGACCUCUGUUUGUUGGCAUGCAUGCUCUUACUCUUCAUGCCUGCUUGCUUGGAUGGAAAAAGCUGCCAGGUUGUGAGCUGCUGUACGGAGAAAUCCCCAUGGCAGGGAGCUGAGGGGAACCUGCUGCCAACAGCCAAGGAAGAACUAAGGUCCUCAGCCCAGCCACCCAGGAAGAACUGAAUCUUGCCAGCAGCCACAUGAGUGAACUUGGAAGUGGGUCUUUUCCCAGGUGCAUUUGGAUGGGACCUGAACGUAAAAGAAAGAGAAAGCGUGAAUCUCUGGGGAACCAAGCAGGGGUCAGGGAACACAUUCUCUAGUUGUUCUGAAGAAUUCUCUUUUGUGACAUCUGGGACCAGAGGCCUUCCAGUCUGGUGUAAGAACAUAAAAAAUAAAGUUUGCAAUCUUGUUCUGUGA